Molecule: long non-coding RNA, 278 nt
Filed under: Canis lupus familiaris (dog)
Lineage: Eukaryota; Metazoa; Chordata; Mammalia; Carnivora; Canidae
Description: lncRNA (ENSCAFG00845020011.1)
Source: RNAcentral
AGUUAACCUAAGAUACCCUGGAAAGCAGGGAGAGGUUGUGACUCAGCUCCAGGGUCAGCCUGGAUACCCCCCUGAUGAGGGGUCCCCGUCCUGAUCUUCACAGGCUCCAAGAUGGGUUGUUUGUGGGAUUACUACAUGCUGGGUACUUUCUGGUGGCGGGCCCUGUGCUGAGUCCAAAGAUGGCAUCCAGAGAGGAAUAAGGAGCAGCCCUGACCUCAAGAAACUCAACACCUUGCCCAGAAGCCAGGCAAGGAUGGUGACUGGCCAGCAUGCUGCGG